AGUGAACGCUGGCGGUAGGCCUAACACAUGCAAGUCGAACGGCAGCACAGUAAGAGCUUGCUCUUACGGGUGGCGAGUGGCGGACGGGUGAGGAAUACAUCGGAAUCUACUUUUUCGUGGGGGAUAACGUAGGGAAACUUACGCUAAUACCGCAUACGACCUACGGGUGAAAGCAGGGGAUCUUCGGACCUUGCGCGAUUGUAUGAGCCGAUGUCGGAUUAGCUAGUUGGCGGGGUAAAGGCCCACCAAGGCGACGAUCCGUAGCUGGUCUGAGAGGAUGAUCAGCCACACUGGAACUGAGACACGGUCCAGACUCCUACGGGAGGCAGCAGUGGGGAAUAUUGGACAAUGGGCGCAAGCCUGAUCCAGCCACACCGCGUGGGUGAAGAAGGCCUUCGGGUUGUAAAGCCCUUUUGUUGGGAAAGAAAAGCAGCAGGUUAAUACCCCGCUGUUCUGACGGUACCCAAAGAAUAAGCACCGGCUAACUUCGUG
This 492-nucleotide ribosomal RNA is filed under the name uncultured bacterium. Its description in RNAcentral is "partial 16S ribosomal RNA". It matches the Rfam family "Bacterial small subunit ribosomal RNA", at positions 29 to 507 of the family's 1533-position model. The record is from RNAcentral.